RNAcentral lists this ribosomal RNA (627 nucleotides) under Bacillus sp. (in: firmicutes). RNAcentral's name for it is "bacterial SSU rRNA". It matches the Rfam family "Bacterial small subunit ribosomal RNA", at positions 74 to 686 of the family's 1533-position model. Lineage: Bacteria; Bacillati; Bacillota; Bacilli; Caryophanales; Bacillaceae. The record is from RNAcentral.
GGGAGCUUGCUCCCUGAGAUUAGCGGCGGACGGGUGAGUAACACGUGGGUAACCUGCCUGUAAGACUGGGAUAACUUCGGGAAACCGGAGCUAAUACCGGAUAGUUUCUUUUCUCGCAUGAGAGAAGAUGGAAAGAUGGUUUCGGCUAUCACUUACAGAUGGACCCGCGGCGCAUUAGCUAGUUGGUGAGGUAACGGCUCACCAAGGCGACGAUGCGUAGCCGACCUGAGAGGGUGAUCGGCCACACUGGGACUGAGACACGGCCCAGACUCCUACGGGAGGCAGCAGUAGGGAAUCUUCCGCAAUGGACGAAAGUCUGACGGAGCAACGCCGCGUGAGCGAAGAAGGCCUUCGGGUCGUAAAGCUCUGUUGUUAGGGAAGAACAAGUACGAGAGUAACUGCUCGUACCUUGACGGUACCUAACCAGAAAGCCACGGCUAACUACGUGCCAGCAGCCGCGGUAAUACGUAGGUGGCAAGCGUUGUCCGGAAUUAUUGGGCGUAAAGCGCGCGCAGGCGGUCCUUUAAGUCUGAUGUGAAAGCCCACGGCUCAACCGUGGAGGGUCAUUGGAAACUGGGGGACUUGAGUGCAGAAGAGGAGAGUGGAAUUCCACGUGUAGCGGUGAAA